AGCAGCCGCCGCGGUAAUACGCAGGGUGCAAGCGUUAAUCGGAGUUACUGGGCGUAAAGCGUGCGCAGGCGGUUAUAUAAGUCAGAUGUGAAAUCCCCGGGCUCAACCUGGGAACUGCAUUUGAGACUGUAUGGCUAGAGUGUGUCAGAGGGGGGUAGAAUUCCACGUGUAGCAGUGAAAUGCGUAGAGAUCGGGAGGAACAUCAGUGGCGAAGGCGGCCAUCUGGGACAACACUGACGCUGAGGCACGAAAGCGUGUGGAGCAAACAGGAUUAGAUACCCCUGUAGUCCCUGUCUCUUAUAC
RNAcentral lists this ribosomal RNA (303 nucleotides) under uncultured bacterium. RNAcentral describes it as "partial 16S ribosomal RNA". It matches the Rfam family "Bacterial small subunit ribosomal RNA", at positions 507 to 807 of the family's 1533-position model. The record is from RNAcentral.